Molecule: ribosomal RNA, 253 nt
Filed under: uncultured bacterium
Lineage: Bacteria
Description: partial 16S ribosomal RNA
Rfam family: Bacterial small subunit ribosomal RNA
Source: RNAcentral
UACGUAGGCAGCGAGCGUUGUUCGGAAUUACUGGGCGUAAAGCGUGCGCAGGCGGUUUUGUAAGCCAGAUGUGAAAGCCCCGGGCUUAACCUGGGAAUGGCCGUUGAAACUGGCGAACUGGAGUGUGGCAGAGGGGGGUGGAAUUCCGCGUGUAGCAGUGAAAUGCGUAGAGAUGCGGAGGAACACCGAUGGCGAAGGCAGCCCCCUGGGCUAACACUGACGCUCAGGCACGAAAGCGUGGGGAGCAAACAGG